This 300-nucleotide ribosomal RNA is filed under the name Triticum aestivum (bread wheat). Its description in RNAcentral is "partial small subunit ribosomal RNA". The record is from RNAcentral. Lineage: Eukaryota; Viridiplantae; Streptophyta; Magnoliopsida; Poales; Poaceae.
AUGCGUAUGUUGAGAUGGAUGUGUGGCCACACGAGGAAGGAUCGAGUCCGGAAUGAUGAUAUAGGAGAUAGAGUUGGGGUGGCACCGAUUGAAGAGAAGCUUGUCCAACAUCGUCUGAGAUGGUUUGGGCAUAUUCAGCGUAUGCCUCCAGAAGCUCCAGUGCAUAGCGGACGGCUAAAGCGUGCGGAGAAUGUCAAGAGAGGGCGGGGUAGACCGAAUUUGACAUGGAAGGAGUCCGUUAAGAGAGACCUGAAGGAUUGGAGUAUCACCAAAGAGCUAGCUAUGGACAGGGGUGCGUGA